RNAcentral lists this unclassified non-coding RNA (223 nucleotides) under Hevea brasiliensis (rubber tree). The record is from RNAcentral. Lineage: Eukaryota; Viridiplantae; Streptophyta; Magnoliopsida; Malpighiales; Euphorbiaceae.
UAUAUCAUUCCACUGAAUUUCAAUCUUGCUUUUCAAACCCUUUUCCAAGAAUUCCCAUACCAACUUCCUUUUAGCAUAAUAACAUUUAGCCACAAGAUCACCUUCAUUCUUGGAUCUUCUCUCCCAUUUGCCAAUUCUAAGUAACAAGGCUGAGAAGUUAGACGCCUUCGACUUGUCAGAACUUGGUUGGGACCCAAAAUGAUCAACCUUUGGAUGAUGGUAA